AGUGAACGCUGGCGGCAGGCCUAACACAUGCAAGUCGAACGGUAGCACAGAGGAGCUUGCUCCUUGGGUGACGAGUGGCGGACGGGUGAGGAAUACAUCGGAAUCUACCCUGUCGUGGGGGAUAACGUAGGGAAACUUACGCUAAUACCGCAUACGAACUGAGGUUGAAAGCAGGGGACCGCAAGGCCUUGCGCGAUUGGAUGAGCCGAUGUCCGAUUAGCUAGUUGGUAAGGUAAAGGCUUACCAAGGCGACGAUCGGUAGCUGGUCUGGGAGGGAGACCAGCCACACUGGAACGGGGGCACGGUCCGACCUCCGACGGGAGGAAGCAGUGGGGAGUAUUGGACAAUGGGCGCAAGCCGGAUCCAGCCAUGCCGCGUGUGUGAAGAAGGCCUUCGGGUCGUAAAGCACUUUUGUUGGGAAAGAAAAGCGGUCGGUUAAUACCCGGUCGUACUGACGGUACCCAAAGAAUAAGCACCGGCUAACUUCGUGCCAGCAGCCGCCGUAA
RNAcentral lists this ribosomal RNA (506 nucleotides) under uncultured bacterium. RNAcentral describes it as "partial 16S ribosomal RNA". It matches the Rfam family "Bacterial small subunit ribosomal RNA", at positions 29 to 523 of the family's 1533-position model. The record is from RNAcentral.